Patella vulgata (common limpet) is the source of this 407-nucleotide long non-coding RNA. RefSeq lists it as uncharacterized. The transcript is spliced from 4 exons. NCBI's taxonomy places the organism in Eukaryota, Metazoa, Mollusca, Gastropoda, Patellidae. The record is from RefSeq and is a predicted model, not a curated record.
UUGUCACUUCCGUCAACAUGAAAAAUCUGACAAACAAGAAUCGCCUUUACUAUAUAUAAGAUUUGAUUUUCUGAGUCUAGUUGCAGAGGUUUAAUUAAUAAUUUAUCUGGGUAAAAUUCCUGAACAAAACCCAAAAUGAUCGAAUUUUGUUCUAAAAGGCGAAUGAUUUUUAUCAUUGCAAUACUUACUUGUUUAAGCAUAGUGACACUAUUCUUUGAAAAUAGAUGGUCAAAUCAACGUAUGUUAAAAGAAGCCAAGGUUGCUGCUGCAGCGCUGAUAAAUGCCAGUUGUAAUCCUGGAGUAGUUACAGUUCUUGAAACAUGUAAAAUAUGUCCUAGGGCGGAAAAUAAAAAAGAAUUAAGUUUUUGUAGACAGACUGGUUAUAAAGAAUUUGUUCAAUGUCCUGA